UUUCUAAGUCUUUUGAUUCUGCCAGCUUAUUUGUAUAGCAAAUUGAGACUUACGGGUGUCUUGCUUGAACAUGAAUUUGUUGCACAGCGUCUAAAGGGUCGAAUUCGUCCAUUCGUUUGGCAGAUCACUUCUGUGAGAACUAGAAGUUGAGAUAUUUGAAGUGGUGGCAGUCACGGCAGAGGGAAGUGUUCGUAUAGAAUGGUGCUCCGGGCAGUACGGAUUGGAAUGGAGAGUACUACUUUUCGAAUUUGUUUCUUUUGUAUGAAAAACGAGACUCAAAAACCCCAUAUUGCGAAGGCUGGCAACGUAUAAAUUAUGUUGGGUUGCAAAGUCCAGGAUGUACAAAUCGAUCGCCCCAAUUCUUUUACGAUGAAUACUGCCAAAUACGAACUCCGAGAUAUAAAUCGUUAAAACAGAUAGAAUUCCAUCUAAUAGAUUUCCAAUUGACCAUGGACAGAAGGCUUCUCUCAGUUUCUCGUUUAAUGUGUGAAUGAAUACAUCCCAAUCCUCAAGAUUCACAUAAGCUCGAAGAGGUACAGGAUAAUCGGUUGGAAAUUGAGGAUAUUUAUCUCCUGAAACCGAAUAAUCCCUUUCAAUGCGAACAAGCAUCGAAAAAACCUACUGAAAUGAAGCUUGGUGGAUUCCCUAGCUCUAGGUUCAAGUGUACAAUAUUAGAAGACGGAUUAGAGAAUAUGUAUAAUGAAACUGGGAUUCGGUAGAGCACAAGAAAAAAAAUAAAUAAACAGGAAAGUUAUAAGUUAAACAACGUUAAAAAUGACUAAAAAAUUAUAAAACACUCAUGAGUUCAUCGAUUGAUCAUAUAACCGGAACUAAACAAACAAACGUAUUAAAUGUCAGAAUUGAGUGAUUAAUUGAGUGAAUAGCUGUAAAAUGGGCAAUGAUAACUCAUUUUAAAAAAUCAUUAUGAUUAAUUGAGUGAGUUUCAGAUUUGAAACAAAAACCACACAGUUUGUCACUAGGUAAUUUGAACGGAUUUAUAGUGAAAAUUAAGAUUGAUAAAAGGAUGUGGUUUUAGUUGUUGAGGAAUUGAAAAUUAAUAAAACGUAUUGCUCGUUCAGGAAGAGGAUAAAAGCUCUCUACAGGAUAUAUUUCAUCUACGAUAAAAGUUACUUAGAAUGAACUGGAAAAACUACUUGGGAAAAUAAAUGUAAUAAAAUAUAAAAAAUAUUCGACUGUAUAUUAUAUGAGCAUUGACUCAUAUUACUUUAGUCGUUAGAUGAGAUAAAACUUUGACAACGAAUGCGGGCUUUUUUGAAGUCCUUGCUCAGUCCAAGAAGAGCGUCUUAAAUCAAGUUCAAUAAACUUUUUUAGCUGCAAGGGAAGUUAG
This is a non-coding RNA of Schizosaccharomyces pombe (fission yeast), 1348 nucleotides long. NCBI's taxonomy places the organism in Eukaryota, Fungi, Ascomycota, Schizosaccharomycetes, Schizosaccharomycetales, Schizosaccharomycetaceae. The record is from the annotation of a GenBank genome assembly.